This 232-nucleotide ribosomal RNA is filed under the name uncultured bacterium. RNAcentral describes it as "partial 16S ribosomal RNA". It matches the Rfam family "Bacterial small subunit ribosomal RNA", at positions 57 to 305 of the family's 1533-position model. The record is from RNAcentral.
GCAAGUCGAGCGAGAAGCUACCUUCGGGUAGUGGAGAGCGGCGAACGGGUGAGUAACGCGUGGGAAUUUACCUUAGAGUGGGGAAUAACAGUUGGAAACGACUGCUAAUACCGCAUACGCCCUUCGGGGGAAAGGCUUCGGCCGCUCUUAGAUAAGCCCGCGUUAGAUUAGCUAGUUGGUGGGGUAAUGGCUCACCAAGGCUACGAUCUAUAGCUGGUUUGAGAGGAUGAGC